AGGAUGAACGCUAGCGGCAGGCCUAAUACAUGCAAGUCGAACGGUGGUAGCAAUAUCAUAGUGGCGCACGGGUGCGUAACACGUAACUAACCUACCUAUAACUGGGGGAUAGCCCGCCGAAAGGCGGAUUAAUACCGCAUAAGCUGUGAGGGUGGCAUCACCUUUUUAGUAAAGAUUUAUUGGUUAUAGAUGGGGUUGCGGGUCAUUAGCUAGUUGGUUGGGUAACGGCUGACCAAGGCGACGAUGACUA
This 250-nucleotide ribosomal RNA is filed under the name uncultured bacterium. Its description in RNAcentral is "partial small subunit ribosomal RNA". It matches the Rfam family "Bacterial small subunit ribosomal RNA", at positions 26 to 285 of the family's 1533-position model. The record is from RNAcentral.